Molecule: long non-coding RNA, 423 nt
Filed under: Malus domestica (apple)
Lineage: Eukaryota; Viridiplantae; Streptophyta; Magnoliopsida; Rosales; Rosaceae
Description: long non-coding RNA (MDOM_LNC014716)
Source: RNAcentral
UAGGCCCAACCUAACAAUCAUGUUUAGUUGAUUACCAUUAAUUGUUUAUUUUCUACCAUAGUCAAUUCUCUAAUCCUUACCUUACAUUCAAAACCGACUAAAAAAUAAGGUAAAACUCAAAUUAUUUACUAAAUUCCUUCCUUUAAUUCUACGUCUUGUUUCCGACCUUGAUUCAUAAAUAAAAAAAAUUUAAACACCAAACAUACAAAUUUAUUAUCAUCUUGUCUCUAUUUCCUUUUAUAACACACUUCUCAUUCUAAGAAUUAUUUUUCUGGUUAUUUAAGGCUGCAUCUAACACUGUUAGACUGCCUACGUACCCUGGAGUGGGAUCAAGCCUUUUGUAGUUCACGAAUUCCAAAAUUAAACAAAAUCUGAAUAUAUGCAGUUAAUCCAACAUAUACCAAAAUCGUAUUAAUAUUCAAA